RNAcentral lists this ribosomal RNA (253 nucleotides) under uncultured bacterium. Its description in RNAcentral is "partial 16S ribosomal RNA". It matches the Rfam family "Bacterial small subunit ribosomal RNA", at positions 524 to 776 of the family's 1533-position model. The record is from RNAcentral.
UACGGAGGGUGCGAGCGUUAAUCGGAAUUACUGGGCGUAAAGGGUGCGCAGGUGGUUGUGUAAGUCUGAUGUGAAAGCCCCGGGCUUAACCUGGGAACUGCAUUGGAGACUGCACGGCUAGAGUGCGUCAGAGGGGGGUGGAAUUCCACGUGUAGCAGUGAAAUGCGUAGAGAUGUGGAGGAACACCGAUGGCGAAGGCAGCCCCCUGGGCUGACACUGACACUCAUGCACGAAAGCGUGGGGAGCAAACAGG